RNAcentral lists this ribosomal RNA (493 nucleotides) under uncultured bacterium. Its description in RNAcentral is "partial 16S ribosomal RNA". It matches the Rfam family "Bacterial small subunit ribosomal RNA", at positions 28 to 507 of the family's 1533-position model. The record is from RNAcentral.
GACGAACGCUGGCGGCGUGCCUAACACAUGCAAGUUGAGCGACGAACCUGGGCUUGCCCUGGGGCAAAGCAGCGAACGGGUGAGUAACACGUGGGUAACCUACCCCGAUAACCGGGACAACCCGAGGAAACUCGGGCUAAUACCGGAUGUGCUCACUGGACUUCGGUUCAGUGCGUAAAGGAAGCUUCGGCCUCCGUAUCGGGAGGGGCCCGCGGCCCAUUAGUUUGUUGGUGAGGUAACGGCUCACCAAGACCGCGAUGGGUAGCUGGUCUGAGAGGACGAUCAGCCACACUGGGACUGAGACACGGCCCAGACUCCUACGGGAGGCAGCAGUGGGGAAUCUUGCGCAAUGCGCGAAAGCGUGACGCAGCAACGCCGCGUGGGGGAAGAAGGCCUUCGGGUUGUAAACCCCUUUCAGGAGGGACGAAGGUUCGGCGGUGAAUAGCCGUCCGGACUGACGGUACCUCCACAAGAAGCCCCGGCUAACUACGUG